UAGAGCGGGUCGUAAGUGGCAUAUAAUGCAGUGUGGCAAGCGCAUGUCUGCACCUCCCUUUGGCAAAAACCUGUUCCGCGCUUCGCCCGGGAAAUAUGUCGCCGCGCGCGCCGUGACUCGCAAUCGCUUCGUUUCCAUCACUGUUUCGUUACGCCAAAUUAUUAUUUAUGUUUAUUUUUUUAUUAUGACCUUGUUAACAUCGGAAAAAGUACGUAGAUGUUGCCAGUAUCUGAUUCAUUAUCUAAAGAUUAUAAAUUAUUGUGUGAUUUUUCGUAAUUCUAACGUGUGACGAUAGACAUAGAAUCUAUUAUCAGAUGUCUUCAACACGGAAUUAGAGAAAGGUGGCAAACGAGCAAGCGGGCACCUGAAUCCGCCGGAAUAGCGAAGCGAACGCUGCCCAUAAUCCGCAGAAAUACAAGCGUUCCUGUGUCCUUGGAGAUCCUGGAACCGUCGUCGUCACUUGAAGAUGACCACCGAGGGGAUUUUGGGUCAUAUUCCACGUAACCAGCCUUCCCUCAAGAGGACAGGGUAUCUUUGGUAGAUUCUCCCGACAACAAAAAUGAUAAACCAGCAGACGUACUUAAUGCGUUGGAAAUGGGUCUUCUGGAAGCUGGUGUAGCAGAGAAGUACCUAAGAUUCAUGUAAAAGCACUAAGGGACCAAGAACUAAGAACAUAAAGAAGUACAUUUAAAUUAUUUCUUGUAUCUAUCAUAGUUAAGGUAUAAUUCUUGCUGUUGUAAACAUUAAAAGACUUUAUUUAUAUUCGUU
Molecule: long non-coding RNA, 768 nt
Organism: Papilio polytes (common Mormon)
Lineage: Eukaryota; Metazoa; Arthropoda; Insecta; Lepidoptera; Papilionidae
Exons: 4
Source: RefSeq, a predicted model, not a curated record